AUGGUACUUUUUGUGGAUCGGGUGAAGUGUAAUGAGGCCGAGAAGGCUAAGGCAUUAUUUAGGGGGCUGAAUUCAAAGUACAGAGAAGUGAUUGGAGCAAAUUCCCCUAUAGAUUACCUAACAAUGGUUAGGCAGGCUAGAGGGAUGGAGUUGGAUGUCCACCUCACAGAAGCCCGGGAGAAUCGCACUAGAGGUUCUAGUGGCCCGGGUGGUGACUCGAAGAGGAGUUACCGUGGUGGAAGUGGGUUUGCCAUCGACCUUCUUUCACGAAGUUCAAGGGAAGCAUCGUGCACAACAAACAACUAA
RNAcentral lists this ribosomal RNA (306 nucleotides) under Triticum aestivum (bread wheat). Its description in RNAcentral is "partial small subunit ribosomal RNA". Lineage: Eukaryota; Viridiplantae; Streptophyta; Magnoliopsida; Poales; Poaceae. The record is from RNAcentral.